RNAcentral lists this transfer RNA (72 nucleotides) under Planctomycetales bacterium. Its description in RNAcentral is "tRNA-Gly". It matches the Rfam family "tRNA". From Rfam's summary of the family: Transfer RNA (tRNA) molecules are approximately 80 nucleotides in length. Their secondary structure includes four short double-helical elements and three loops (D, anti-codon, and T loops). The record is from RNAcentral. Lineage: Bacteria; Pseudomonadati; Planctomycetota; Planctomycetia; Planctomycetales.
GCGUCCUUAGUGUAGCGGUAACACGAUAGCUUCCCAAGCUGUAAUUGAGGGUUCGACUCCCUUAGGACGCUC